CUACGUGCCAGCAGCCGCGGUAAUACGUAGGGGGCAAGCGUUAUCCGGAUUCAUUGGGCGUAAAGCGCUCGUAGGCGGUCUGUUAGGUCGGGAGUUAAAUCCGGGGGCUCAACCCCCGCUCGCUCCCGAUACCGGCAGACUUGAGUUUGGUAGGGGAAGGUGGAAUUCCUAGUGUAGCGGUGGAAUGCGCAGAUAUUAGGAAGAACACCAGUGGCGAAGGCGGCCUUCUGGGCCAUAACUGACGCUGAGGAGCGAAAGCUAGGGGAGCAAACAGGAUUAGAUACCCUGGUAGUCCUAGCCGUAAACGAUGGACACUAGGUGUGGGGGAAUAUUUCUUCCGUGCCGCAGCUAACGCAUUAAGUGUCCCGCCUGGGGAGUACGGCCGCAAGGCUAAAACUCAAAGGAAUUGACGGGGGCCCGCACAAGCAGCGGAGCAUGUGGUUUAAUUCGAAGCAACGCGAAGAACCUUACCAGGGCUUGACAU
RNAcentral lists this ribosomal RNA (484 nucleotides) under uncultured bacterium. Its description in RNAcentral is "bacterial SSU rRNA". It matches the Rfam family "Bacterial small subunit ribosomal RNA", at positions 501 to 987 of the family's 1533-position model. The record is from RNAcentral.